ACAGGUGGUGCAUGGUUGUCGUCAGCUCGUGUCGUGAGAUGUUGGGUUAAGUCCCGCAACGAGCGCAACCCUUGUCUUUAGUUGCCAUCAUUAAGUUGGGCACUCUAGAGAGACUGCCAGGGAUAACCUGGAGGAAGGUGGGGAUGACGUCAAAUCAUCAUGCCCCUUAUGCUUAGGGCUACACACGUGCUACAAUGGGUAGUACAGAGGGUUGCCAAGCCGUAAGGUGGAGCUAAUCCCUUAAAGCUACUCUCAGUUCGGAUUGUAGGCUGAAACUCGCCUACAUGAAGCUGGAGUUACUAGUAAUCGCAGAUCAGAAUGCUGCGGUGAAUGCGUUCCCGGGUCUUGUACACACCGCCCGUCACACCACGGGAGUUGGAGACGCCCGAAGCCGAUUAUCUAACCUUUUGGAAGAAGUCGUCGAAGGUGGAAUCAAUAACUGGGGUGAAGUCGUAACAAGGUAGCCGUAUCGGAAGGUGCGGCUGGAUC
Molecule: ribosomal RNA, 489 nt
Filed under: Clostridioides difficile
Lineage: Bacteria; Bacillati; Bacillota; Clostridia; Peptostreptococcales; Peptostreptococcaceae
Description: bacterial SSU rRNA
Rfam family: Bacterial small subunit ribosomal RNA
Source: RNAcentral